This 492-nucleotide ribosomal RNA is filed under the name uncultured bacterium. RNAcentral describes it as "partial 16S ribosomal RNA". It matches the Rfam family "Bacterial small subunit ribosomal RNA", at positions 29 to 507 of the family's 1533-position model. The record is from RNAcentral.
AGUGAACGCUGGCGGUAGGCCUAACACAUGCAAGUCGAACGGCAGCACAGUAAGAGCUUGCUCUUACGGGUGGCGAGUGGCGGACGGGUGGGGAAUACAUCGGAAUCUACUUUUUCGUGGGGGAUAACGUAGGGAAACUUACGCUAAUACCGCAUACGACCUACGGGUGAAAGCAGGGGAUCUUCGGACCUUGCGCGAUUGAAUGAGCCGAUGUCGGAUUAGCUAGUUGGCGGGGUAAAGGCCCACCAAGGCGACGAUCCGUAGCUGGUCUGAGAGGAUGAUCAGCCACACUGGAACUGAGACACGGUCCAGACUCCUACGGGAGGCGGCAGUGGGGAAUAUUGGACAAUGGGCGCAAGCCUGAUCCAGCCAUACCGCGUGGGUGAAGAAGGCCUUCGGGUUGUAAAGCCCUUUUGUUGGGAAAGAAAAGCAGCAGGUUAAUACCCCGCUGUUCUGACGGUACCCAAAGAAUAAGCACCGGCUAACUUCGUG